This 28-nucleotide small RNA is filed under the name Bombyx mori (domestic silkworm). Its description in RNAcentral is "ovarian small RNA-6447". Lineage: Eukaryota; Metazoa; Arthropoda; Insecta; Lepidoptera; Bombycidae. The record is from RNAcentral.
UAGUAGGUUACACGGUAUUAUACACGAA